ACACUCCUGCGGGAGGCAGCAGUGGGGAAUUUUGGACAAUGGGCGAAAGCCUGAUCCAGCCAUGCCGCGUGCAGGAUGAAGGCCUUCGGGUUGUAAACUGCUUUUGUACGGAACGAAACGGCCUUUUCUAAUAAAGAGGGCUAAUGACGGUACCGUAAGAAUAAGCACCGGCUAACUACGUGCCAGCAGCCGCGGUAAUACGUAGGGUGCAAGCGUUAAUCGGAAUUACUGGGCGGAAAGCGUGCGCAGGCGGUUAUGUAAGACAGUUGUGAAAUCCCCGGGCUCAACCUGGGAACUGCAUCUGUGACUGCAUAGCUAGAGUACGGUAGAGGGGGAUGGAAUUCCGCGUGUAGCAGUGAAAUGCGUAGAUAUGCGGAGGAACACCGAUGGCGAAGGCAAUCCCCUGGACCUGUACUGACGCUCAUGCACGAAAGCGUGGGGAGCAAACAGGAUUAGAAACCCCAGUAGUCCCAUGAU
Molecule: ribosomal RNA, 477 nt
Filed under: uncultured organism
Description: partial 16S ribosomal RNA
Rfam family: Bacterial small subunit ribosomal RNA
Source: RNAcentral